Molecule: ribosomal RNA, 253 nt
Filed under: uncultured bacterium
Lineage: Bacteria
Description: partial 16S ribosomal RNA
Rfam family: Bacterial small subunit ribosomal RNA
Source: RNAcentral
UACGUAGGUGGCAAGCGUUGUCCGGAUGUAUUGGGUUUAAAGGGGGCGUAGGCGGCCCUGUAAGUCAGUGCUGAAAUAUCCCGGCUUAACCGGGAGGGUGGCAUUGAUACUGCAGGGCUUGAGUAAAGUUGAGGUUGGCGGAAUUGACGGUGUAGCGGUGAAAUGCUUAGAUAUCGUCAAGAACACCUAUAGCGAAGGCAGCUUACUAGGCUGUAACUGACGCUGAGGCACGAAAGUGUGGGGAUCAAACAGG